CCCGUCCAGUAUGAACGCCAAAAUACCAAUCCUCAAUAGCCCGUCCGGUUUGAGGCAACGUUCACGGUAGGGUUCCCUAUAUACCCUGUCCGUCCACCAUCUCACAGGAUAUCUAGUAAGGCUACGUUCAUCCAUUUACUUAAUCAAACAAUUUUCCAUUUAUCCUUAAUUUCCAAUUUUCUAAUUUAACUAUAAUCACAUAAAAUAAGCAAUACAUGCAUCAAGGAAACACAAUCACAUUAUCAUACCAAUUCCUGUGUAUUAUCAUGCAUUCGAACUUGUAAAAUUCAGGAAAUCAGUUAAACAUAGCAAACAGUAAUAAAUAACUGG
Molecule: long non-coding RNA, 330 nt
Filed under: Carica papaya (papaya)
Lineage: Eukaryota; Viridiplantae; Streptophyta; Magnoliopsida; Brassicales; Caricaceae
Description: long non-coding RNA (CPAP_LNC004353)
Source: RNAcentral